AAAGAACACAUCGCUCUGUAUGUUUUUUACUUCGGUUUGAAGUAUUUACAUAGUAACCAGUAGAUUUCUGGUAAACGUGGGGUUUCAGACAUGCUGCUUGAUAGAAUGUGACUCGCGUUGCGUCUCUGCC
Long non-coding RNA from Etheostoma spectabile (orangethroat darter), 130 nucleotides. RefSeq lists it as uncharacterized. NCBI's taxonomy places the organism in Eukaryota, Metazoa, Chordata, Actinopteri, Perciformes, Percidae. The transcript has 3 exons. The record is from RefSeq and is a predicted model, not a curated record.